This 205-nucleotide unclassified non-coding RNA is filed under the name Melitaea cinxia (Glanville fritillary). RNAcentral describes it as "misc RNA ENSMCXG00005018710.1". The record is from RNAcentral. Lineage: Eukaryota; Metazoa; Arthropoda; Insecta; Lepidoptera; Nymphalidae.
UUUACGUAGAGUUUGACUGAGUAGCAUGAGCUGCUGUCGCUCGAUUUAGGUGACAGUGGCGACUCUUGAUUACGGUUAUCGUCACUCGAUGGAGGUGGCAAGGUUAUCGUCACUCGCUGAGUGGCAUGAGCUGCUGUCGCUCGAUUUAGGUGACAGUAGCGACUCUUUAAAUUACGGUUAUCGUCACUCUCUGAGUGGCAUGAGU